Molecule: unclassified non-coding RNA, 256 nt
Filed under: Hevea brasiliensis (rubber tree)
Lineage: Eukaryota; Viridiplantae; Streptophyta; Magnoliopsida; Malpighiales; Euphorbiaceae
Source: RNAcentral
AGUUGGUCAAGCGAGUGGAGCUUAGAAUCCAAAUUAGAAGAAGAAGAAGCAAUAAGGGUUUGAAUAAGGGACUGCGGUUCAGGGUAUGUGAGUGGUUUGGGGAAAGAGACGAGGGUAUAAUUGGAAAUGAGACUCCGAAGGGCAUGAUUAGGGAUGAGAGAAACCGGGUCGGAAAUGGGUAGCUUGGUAAUCGGGCAAGUCCGGUGGCCGGAGUCUACCCACCGUUGGAUUGAAGAGCGGUCGAAGGUGUGACCCG